CCUACGGGAGGCAGCAGUGGGGGAUAUUGCACAAUGGGGGAAACCCUGAUGCAGCGACGCCGCGUGGGUGAAGAAGCGCCUAGGCGCGUAAAGCUCUGGCAGCAGGGAAGAAAAUGACGGUACCUGUAGAAGAAGCUCCGGCUAACUACGUGCCAGCAGCCGCGGUAAUACGUAGGGGGCAAGCGUUAUCCGGAUUUAGCGGGUUUAAAGGGGGCGCAGGCGGCGAUGCAAGCCAGGAGUGAAAGCCUGGGGCCCAACCCCGGGACUGCUCUUGGAACUGCGUGGCUAGAGUGCAGGAGGGGCAGGCGGAAUUCCUGGUGUAGCGGUGAAAUGCGUAGAUAUCACGAGGAACACCGGUGGCGAAGGUGGCCUGCUGGACUGCAACUGACGUUGAGGCCCGAAAGCGUGGGGAGCAAACAGGAUUAGAUACCCGGGUAGUC
Molecule: ribosomal RNA, 440 nt
Filed under: uncultured bacterium
Lineage: Bacteria
Description: partial 16S ribosomal RNA
Rfam family: Bacterial small subunit ribosomal RNA
Source: RNAcentral